This 785-nucleotide ribosomal RNA is filed under the name uncultured bacterium. RNAcentral describes it as "bacterial SSU rRNA". It matches the Rfam family "Bacterial small subunit ribosomal RNA", at positions 558 to 1341 of the family's 1533-position model. The record is from RNAcentral.
GCGUAAAGAGCUCGUAGGCGGUUUGUCGCGUCUGCUGUGAAAUCCCGAGGCUCAACCUCGGGCCUGCAGUGGGUACGGGCAGACUAGAGUGCGGUAGGGGAGAUUGGAAUUCCUGGUGUAGCGGUGGAAUGCGCAGAUAUCAGGAGGAACACCGAUGGCGAAGGCAGAUCUCUGGGCCGUAACUGACGCUGAGGAGCGAAAGGGUGGGGAGCAAACAGGCUUAGAUACCCUGGUAGUCCACCCCGUAAACGUUGGGAACUAGUUGUGGGGUCCAUUCCACGGAUUCCGUGACGCAGCUAACGCAUUAAGUUCCCCGCCUGGGGAGUACGGCCGCAAGGCUAAAACUCAAAGGAAUUGACGGGGACCCGCACAAGCGGCGGAGCAUGCGGAUUAAUCCGAUGCAACGCGAAGAACCUUACCAAGGCUUGACAUAUACGAGAACGGGCCAGAAAUGGUCAACUCUUUGGACACUCGUAAACAGGUGGUGCAUGGUUGUCGUCAGCUCGUGUCGUGAGAUGUUGGGUUAAGUCCCGCAACGAGCGCAACCCUCGUUCUAUGUUGCCAGCACGUAAUGGUGGGAACUCAUGGGAUACUGCCGGGGUCAACUUGGAGGAAGGUGGGGAUGACGUCAAAUCAUCAUGCCCCUUAUGUCUUGGGCUUCACGCAUGCUACAAUGGCCGGUACAAAGGGCUGCAAUACCGUGAGGUGGAGCGAAUCCCAAAAAGCCGGUCCCAGUUCGGAUUGAGGUCUGCAACUCGACCUCAUGAAGUCGGAGUCGCUAGUAA